GGGUCGUUAGCUCAGUCGGUAGAGCAGUUGACUUUUAAUCAAUGGGUCGCAGGUUCGAGCCG
RNAcentral lists this transfer RNA (62 nucleotides) under Photorhabdus asymbiotica. RNAcentral describes it as "tRNA-Lys". It matches the Rfam family "tRNA", at positions 1 to 61 of the family's 71-position model. From Rfam's summary of the family: Transfer RNA (tRNA) molecules are approximately 80 nucleotides in length. Their secondary structure includes four short double-helical elements and three loops (D, anti-codon, and T loops). The record is from RNAcentral. Lineage: Bacteria; Pseudomonadati; Pseudomonadota; Gammaproteobacteria; Enterobacterales; Morganellaceae.